Podarcis lilfordi (Lilford's wall lizard) is the source of this 565-nucleotide non-coding RNA. The record is from the annotation of a GenBank genome assembly. NCBI's taxonomy places the organism in Eukaryota, Metazoa, Chordata, Lepidosauria, Squamata, Lacertidae.
CUGAGAUCUCUUAAGGUAGCCAGUUACCCCAGUGAAGGAUGCUGUCGUCACCAGGGUUGAAAGAAGCUUCAGGUGCCAGUUCAGUUGGAUGCUUUACGUAGAAUGAGAAGGCAGCCUCUAGUCCAGCGGUUCUCAACCUGUGGGUUCCCAGAUGUUGUUGGACUACAACUCCCAUCAUCCCUGAGCUCUGGCCUUGCUAGCUAGGGGCGAUGGGAGUUGUAGUUCAACAACAUCUGGGGACCCACAGGUUGAGAAAGGCUGCUCUAGUCCUUUGCUAGCAAAUUGUUGUGUUUCACAUCUGUAAAGUCCUAGCAAUGUUUGGGAUUCAGCAAUUGAGUCCCAUAAGCAGAAGCCCUAUGCAAGGACUUACCCAGAUGAUUACCCAGUGGGGCUGUCCCCCCAUGUGUCCCCCAAAAUUGGGAAGGGGAGGGGGGAUUGUUUUAUCUGGCAAGCUGCAAUGUUUGUCCUGGCAGAAUGAUAGACAUAGUGCAAUGUAGAAUUCCUCCCAGCAUUAAAUCAGUUAAACUAAUAGUCAAGAGCAGGGGUCAGUGAACUUUGUCAGCAG